Molecule: ribosomal RNA, 301 nt
Filed under: uncultured bacterium
Lineage: Bacteria
Description: partial 16S ribosomal RNA
Rfam family: Bacterial small subunit ribosomal RNA
Source: RNAcentral
CAGUCGCCGCGGUAAUACAGAGGGUGCGAGCGUUAAUCGGAUUUACUGGGCGUAAAGCGUGCGUAGGCGGCUUUUUAAGUCGGAUGUGAAAUCCCUGAGCUUAACUUAGGAAUUGCAUUCGAUACUGGGAAGCUAGAGUAUGGGAGAGGAUGGUAGAAUUCCAGGUGUAGCGGUGAAAUGCGUAGAGAUCUGGAGGAAUACCGAUGGCGAAGGCAGCCAUCUGGCCUAAUACUGACGCUGAGGUACGAAAGCAUGGGGAGCAAACAGGAUUAGAGACCCGAGUAGUCCCUGUCUCUUAUAA